GAGGGUAUAGCUUAGUGGUAGAGUGCAUGCUUAGCAUGCAUGAGGUCCUAGGUUUAAUCCACAGUACCUCCA
Molecule: transfer RNA, 72 nt
Filed under: Camelus bactrianus (Bactrian camel)
Lineage: Eukaryota; Metazoa; Chordata; Mammalia; Artiodactyla; Camelidae
Also listed under: 2 other names
Rfam family: tRNA
About the family: Transfer RNA (tRNA) molecules are approximately 80 nucleotides in length. Their secondary structure includes four short double-helical elements and three loops (D, anti-codon, and T loops).
Source: Rfam by way of RNAcentral